GGGUUGUGAGGUUAAGCGACUAAGCGUACACGGUGGAUGCCCUGGCAGUCAGAGGCGAUGAAGGACGUGCUAAUCUGCGAUAAGCGUCGGUAAGGUGAUAUGAACCGUUAUAACCGGCGAUUUCCGAAUGGGGAAACCCAGUGUGUUUCGACACACUAUCAUUAACUGAAUC
Molecule: ribosomal RNA, 172 nt
Filed under: Escherichia coli
Lineage: Bacteria; Pseudomonadati; Pseudomonadota; Gammaproteobacteria; Enterobacterales; Enterobacteriaceae
Also listed under: 1 other name
Description: partial 23S ribosomal RNA
Rfam family: Bacterial large subunit ribosomal RNA
Source: RNAcentral